Molecule: long non-coding RNA, 685 nt
Organism: Balaenoptera musculus (blue whale)
Lineage: Eukaryota; Metazoa; Chordata; Mammalia; Artiodactyla; Balaenopteridae
Exons: 7
Source: RefSeq, a predicted model, not a curated record
UGGAGGUGACUGGGGCUGGUGACAGAAGCAUUCACCAUUGCGUCCACUGCUGUGGGCAUCCUCAAUGACACCAUCCUCUGUAAAGCAUCGGUCUGUGGCCCCAAAGAGGUGUAUGUAACAGUGUCCCUCCUUCAAGCCAUCUGAUCCCACUGAUUCAUCAAGUGCUCAAUGGCCUCUGCGGUGUUCCGUCUCUUCAAAGUCCAGGAGAAUCUUUCCUCGGAGCAGAUGUUGAACCCAGGUCAUCUGGGAGAACAGGCAAACUCACCAAUAUAAGAUGACCGAAAAGCAGUCUGUGAGGAAAGAUCCUUUUACAAGAUUUUAAGCAGAGGUCUUGUAAUUAUAAGGAGGUUUGAAAAGCAUUUCUAGCAGUUGCUGACAGAUGCCCUUCGAACACUGCAUUGCCAGCGUGGUGCUACAGGGGACACGCUGACAGAUUUGCACAGGUCUUUUUGUGGUCCACGGAAGGAAACCCAGGCUCCUUUGUGUUUUAAGCCUUCAUUCGGCAUCCUGGUCCAGUGAGAAGGAAGAGGAUCAGCAUCAAACCCUGGACAGGGUCUCCCUGGCUGCCUUUCAAGUCGGUGAUGCCUUCAAGCCUUUAGGAAUGGAUUUCAAUUCAUAUGUUGAGCAGCUACCUGAUUGGGUUCUAUCUCCAGCCCUGCCUCCUAGCACAGGCUCCAGACGCGCA